This 115-nucleotide small RNA is filed under the name Streptomyces sp. MMG1121. RNAcentral's name for it is "Streptomyces-metK RNA". It matches the Rfam family "Streptomyces-metK RNA". The record is from Rfam by way of RNAcentral. Lineage: Bacteria; Bacillati; Actinomycetota; Actinomycetes; Kitasatosporales; Streptomycetaceae.
GCGAGACGGUGGCCCACGAAACGAGCGCGACCGAUAAACUGUUCAGGUCGGCACCGGGCGCAGCCCUCGUGCCGACAGCAAAUGAUCAGCCAGCAGCCGCUGCAACCACAGGGAG